UUUCCGUAGGUGAACCUGCGGAAGGAUCAUUACUGAGUGAGGGCCCUAUGGGUCCAACCGCCCACCCGUGUUUAUUGUACCUUGUUGCUGCGGUGCGCCCGCCUCACGGCCGCCGGGGGGCUUCUGUCCCCGGGUCCGCGCGCACCGGACACAUCAUUGAACUCUGUCUGAAGAUUGCAGUCUGAGCAUAUACUAAAUAAGUUAAAACUUUCAACAACGGAUCUCUUGGUUCCG
This 234-nucleotide unclassified non-coding RNA is filed under the name plant metagenome. RNAcentral's name for it is "partial contains small subunit ribosomal RNA, internal transcribed spacer 1, and 5.8S ribosomal RNA". The record is from RNAcentral.